UACGGGGGGAGCAAGCGUUGUUCGGAUUUACUGGGCGUAAAGGGCGCGUAGGCGGCUUACCAAGUCAGGCGUGAAAUUCCCGGGCUCAACCUGGGGGCUGCGCUUGAUACUGGUGAGCUUGAAUGCGGGAGAGGAUAGUGGAAUUCCCAGUGUAGAGGUGAAAUUCGUAGAUAUUGGGAAGAACACCGGUGGCGAAGGCGGCUAUCUGGCCCGUAAUUGACGCUGAGGCGCGAAAGCGUGGGGAGCAAACAGG
RNAcentral lists this ribosomal RNA (253 nucleotides) under uncultured bacterium. RNAcentral's name for it is "partial 16S ribosomal RNA". It matches the Rfam family "Bacterial small subunit ribosomal RNA", at positions 524 to 776 of the family's 1533-position model. The record is from RNAcentral.